RNAcentral lists this ribosomal RNA (327 nucleotides) under uncultured eukaryote. Its description in RNAcentral is "partial 18S ribosomal RNA". It matches the Rfam family "Eukaryotic small subunit ribosomal RNA", at positions 1470 to 1796 of the family's 1831-position model. The record is from RNAcentral.
CCCUUAGAUGUUCUGGGCCGCACGCGCGCUACACUGACGAAUGCAACGAGCUUAUAACCUUGGCCGAAAGGUCUGGGUAAUCUCCAAAUUUCGUCGUGAUGGGGAUAGAUUAUUGCAAUUAUUAAUCUUCAACGAGGAAUGCCUAGUAAGCGCAAGUCAGCAGCUUGCGUUGAUUACGUCCCUGCCCUUUGUACACACCGCCCGUCGCUCCUACCGAUUGAAUGGUCCGGUGAAGCGUUCGGACCGUGGCCUUUGGACGGUUCGCCGUCUGUUGGCUGCGGGAAGUUCGUUAAACCUUAUCAUUUAGAGGAAGGAGAAGUCGUAACA